RNAcentral lists this transfer RNA (72 nucleotides) under Angiostrongylus costaricensis. It matches the Rfam family "tRNA". Rfam says of the family: Transfer RNA (tRNA) molecules are approximately 80 nucleotides in length. The record is from Rfam by way of RNAcentral. Lineage: Eukaryota; Metazoa; Nematoda; Chromadorea; Rhabditida; Metastrongylidae.
GGGUGUGUAGCUCAGUGGUAGAGCAUUCGACUGCAGAUCGAGAGGUCCGUUGUUCAACUCCGCGUGCAUCCU